GGAUGAACGCUAGCUACAGGCUUAACACAUGCAAGUCGAGGGGCAUCAGGAAGAAAGCUUGCUUUCUUUGCUGGCGACCGGCGCACGGGUGAGUAACACGUAUCCAACCUGCCCUUUACUCGGGGAUAGCCUUUCGAAAGAAAGAUUAAUACCCGAUAGCAUAAUGAUUCCGCAUGGUUUCAUUAUUAAAGGAUUCCGGUAAAGGAUGGGGAUGCGUUCCAUUAGGUUGUUGGUGAGGUAACGGCCCACCAAGCCUUCGAUGGAUAGGGGUUCUGAGAGGAAGGUCCCCCACAUUGGAACUGAGACACGGUCCAAACUCCUACGGGAGGCAGCAGUGAGGAAUAUUGGUCAAUGGGCGCUAGCCUGAACCAGCCAAGUAGCGUGAAGGAUGAAGGCUCUAUGGGUCGUAAACUUCUUUUAUAUAAGAAUAAAGUGCAGUAUGUAUACUGUUUUGUAUGUAUUAUAUGAAUAAGGAUCGGCUAACUCCGUGCCAGCAGCCGCGGUAAUACGGAGGAUCCGAGCGUUAUCCGGAUUUAUUGGGUUUAAAGGGAGCGUAGGUGGACUGGUAAGUCAGUUGUGAAAGUUUGCGGCUCAACCGUAAAAUUGCAGUUGAUACUGUCAGUCUUGAGUACAGUAGAGGUGGGCGGAAUUCGUGGUGUAGCGGUGAAAUGCUUAGAUAUCACGAAGAACUCCGAUUGCGAAGGCAGCUCACUGGACUGCAACUGACACUGAUGCUCGAAAGUGUGGGUAUCAAACAGGAUUAGAUACCCUGGUAGUCCACACAGUAAACGAUGAAUACUCGCUGUUUGCGAUAUACAGUAAGCGGCCAAGCGAAAGCAUUAAGUAUUCCACCUGGGGAGUACGCCGGCAACGGUGAAACUCAAAGGAAUUGACGGGGGCCCGCACAAGCGGAGGAACAUGUGGUUUAAUUCGAUGAUACGCGAGGAACCUUACCCGGGCUUAAAUUGCAGUGGAAUGAUGUGGAAACAUGUCAGUGAGCAAUCACCGCUGUGAAGGUGCUGCAUGGUUGUCGUCAGCUCGUGCCGUGAGGUGUCGGCUUAAGUGCCAUAACGAGCGCAACCCUUAUCUUCAGUUACUAACAGGUUAUGCUGAGGACUCUGGAGAGACUGCCGUCGUAAGAUGUGAGGAAGGUGGGGAUGACGUCAAAUCAGCACGGCCCUUACGUCCGGGGCUACACACGUGUUACAAUGGGGGGUACAGAAGGCAGCUACCUGGUGACAGGAUGCUAAUCCCAAAAGCCUCUCUCAGUUCGGAUCGAAGUCUACAACCCGACUUCGUGAAGCUGGAUUCGCUAGUAAUCGCGCAUCAGCCACGGCGCGGUGAAUACGUUCCCGGGCCUUGUACACACCGCCCGUCAAGCCAUGGGAGCCGGGGGUACCUGAAGUACGUAACCGCAAGGAUCGUCCUAGGGUAAAACUGGUGACUGG
This 1448-nucleotide ribosomal RNA is filed under the name uncultured organism. RNAcentral describes it as "SSU rRNA". It matches the Rfam family "Bacterial small subunit ribosomal RNA". The record is from RNAcentral.